Dalotia coriaria is the source of this 1131-nucleotide long non-coding RNA. RefSeq lists it as uncharacterized. NCBI's taxonomy places the organism in Eukaryota, Metazoa, Arthropoda, Insecta, Coleoptera, Staphylinidae. The record is from RefSeq and is a predicted model, not a curated record. The transcript has 3 exons.
CUAAAUCAGACUUGAAUAGCGACUCAAAUGAUUCGGAAGUAAAUUGAAUCUCACUGGAGAAAUCAGUAGAAAAUUAGUAGAAAAUCUAAUCAACUUGUAUUAGUGUGUAUGGGAUUAGUCGUCGGCGAUUGUAAGUCUACGCCAUGUUUAAAUGAUCGACGGUGUGCUAGAAGUAGAACGCAUUGCAAUGCACUCGAAUGUGCUACACGCUCGAGUGGUAAGCGUAUUAUACAUGCGAAUGCGCGGCCAUGCCUUCGCCGCAGGCGUUUGCGUUGUCUUACUUCUCCGGCGCUGGCUUCUCCGGUUCAUGGCGUCCGCUGGCGUUUUGUUCGAACGUUAGCGGGCACCACACCCAACUGCAUUUCACCAGACCUCUAAUUUGACUAUUUCGAGCCUGAGCACCGAUUUCACCAUCACACAAUUUCGAUUCCGAGAGAGCAAAGGUUUGGACAUUGCAUGUUUGGAGCGUAUUUAAACAGGAACACGCACAUAAAUAAUACGACACUUGAAGUUAGACGCAGAUCAAUAGAGAUGUAAAGAUGUAGAAGGAGGACAGAAUGUUGUCUUCGAAGAUUGCCAGAAGGUGUUUCCUUUCUCGCUUUGCAGUGAUCUUCUCUGUUUUGCUCUGGAAUCUGAUCUUCAAGAAGCCUCCUCUGCGUCGCUUGCCUUGGUUGCUGCGACGACCAUCAGCCAUCACGAUCACGCCCAGGUGAUGAUCGAAUGCUGUAGCAUAACUUCGAAGAUUGAAGAUUGAGCAAUUCCAAAAAAGAAGCCAAAGAGGUGAAGCGGUAAAAAGAUAGUUUAAUUUAGAGCGCUCGCUUCGAAAAUUUUAGCGAUGUCGAAACGCGGCCAGCUUAUAAUUACAAUAAUUAUAAAAGUUGGAGCUCUAGCAGAAGCCACGCCAGAGAAUCCAGAAGUGAGGUAGCAAGUAAGCCGAGAUUAGAUGUAAUUAACUUUUCUGCGCGUUUUUGUUUUUGCCUAAAACUUCCUCUAAUUGCGCCGGCAGGUAAGGAAACGUCAUAAUUUUAGUAAAUAAUCCCUUCGAAUUAAUAUUUUAGCAGCGAGUCAGCUCCGAAGCGAGAUUCUCUGCCUUGAAUUAGCUUCUAAGUGAUUAAAACUUAAAGAUGCAAA